Long non-coding RNA from Solea senegalensis (Senegalese sole), 918 nucleotides. RefSeq lists it as uncharacterized. Lineage: Eukaryota; Metazoa; Chordata; Actinopteri; Pleuronectiformes; Soleidae. The transcript has 5 exons. The record is from RefSeq and is a predicted model, not a curated record.
GUGUCUUUGGGAGAACCACUUGAAAACAUCAAAGUGCCAGUCUGCGUGCAGGUAUUUCAACACGGUAACACAGUGGAAGCGAUGAAGAUGGAACUAUUAUUGCUAAAAUUAAAGACCGAGCACAGCACGGGAAUGGCCGUUGACCCAGCAGCUUCAGGCAGAUGGGCAGAGGACAUUGGUCACCCUGGACGGCACCAUCUCACAGAGACCACAACAGACACUCAUCCUUGUAACGCCAGAGACGAUGGGGGGAGGAAAUUCCAACUCGACCCAGGCCGUGGCUGAACUGGGACGAGCUGGGGAAUCUCCUUUCAGAGAUUUUCAGAUGCUGGUACGAAUUCACCGAUGCGAUCGUCUGAGCGGUGUCCGGUGACGACUUACAGCACACUGCACCGCGUUUUGGUCGGUGUCUCCUGGAUCUCUGGUGCCGUAGAGGUUAAAUCUAUGGAGAUGCGGCGGGUUCGUGUCUGAACAGGACGGGCUUCUCGCUCCACCUCGUACUGACCACUUUUUGAGUACAAAAUCUAAAUGAUAAGUGGCUCCGUCUGUACUGUACCUGCCUCAGUGUCAGCAAAGUGACCGAGUUGUCCCCUGACAGACCCGGGGGUAAUUGGAACAGUGGACUGAGGGGUAGGCACACACACACACACACGCACGCACACACACAAAUCAUUACAUUUACCACUAAGCAUCUCCAUAAGCCCAAACAGGCAUAUCUGACAUAUCCAUCUGCUAUGGCUGGAUCAAGCUGGAUCUCUCUCUCUCUCUCUCUAAAUCAGGGUAAGGGGGUGUGCCGGUGGUAAUGAAGAUGAGGGCAUGACAUGUAAUCACGGGGUUGGUCACUAUGGAUUGUGUCUGCUGUGUUGGUCGUGUGUGACGGACCCUUCACAGUCUCUAAGCAUGUCGCCUGUGCGGACA